GAUGAACGCUGGCGGCGUGCUUAACACAUGCAAGUCGAACGGGAAUUAUUUUAUUGAAACUUCGGUCGAUUUAAUUUAAUUCUAGUGGCGGACGGGUGAGUAACGCGUGGGUAACCUGCCUUAUACAGGGGGAUAACAGUCAGAAAUGGCUGCUAAUACCGCAUAAGCGCACAGAGCUGCAUGGCUCAGUGUGAAAAACUCCGGUGGUAUAAGAUGGACCCGCGUUGGAUUAGCUGGUUGGUGGGGUAACGGCCCACCAAGGCGACGAUCCAUAGCCGGCCUGAGAGGGUGAACGGCCACAUUGGGACUGAGACACGGCCCAGACUCCUACGGGAGGCAGCAGUGGGGAAUAUUGCACAAUGGGGGAAACCCUGAUGCAGCGACGCCGCGUGAAGGAAGAAGUAUCUCGGUAUGUAAACUUCUAUCAGCAGGGAAGAUAGUGACGGUACCUGACUAGGAAGCCCCGGCUAACUACGUG
RNAcentral lists this ribosomal RNA (478 nucleotides) under uncultured bacterium. RNAcentral describes it as "partial 16S ribosomal RNA". It matches the Rfam family "Bacterial small subunit ribosomal RNA", at positions 28 to 507 of the family's 1533-position model. The record is from RNAcentral.